This 452-nucleotide ribosomal RNA is filed under the name uncultured Acholeplasma sp. Its description in RNAcentral is "bacterial SSU rRNA". It matches the Rfam family "Bacterial small subunit ribosomal RNA", at positions 923 to 1382 of the family's 1533-position model. Lineage: Bacteria; Bacillati; Mycoplasmatota; Mollicutes; Acholeplasmatales; Acholeplasmataceae. The record is from RNAcentral.
GCACAAGCGGUGGAUCAUGUUGUUUAAUUCGAUGAUACGCGAAGAACCUUACCAGGUCUUGACAUCCCCUGCAAAGCUAUGGAGACAUAGUGGAGGUUAUCAGGGAGACAGGUGGUGCAUGGUUGUCGUCAGCUCGUGUCGUGAGAUGUUGGGUUAAGUCCCGCAACGAGCGCAACCCUUAUUGCUAGUUACCAUCAUUCAGUUGGGGACUCUAGCGAGACUGCCAGUGAUAAACUGGAGGAAGUGGGGAUGACGUCAAAUCAUCAUGCCCCUUAUGACCUGGGCUACAAACGUGAUACAAUGGCUGAAACAAAGGGCAGCGAAGCAGUGAUGUGGAGCGAAACCCAAAAAGCAGUCUCAGUUCGGAUUGAAGUCUGCAACUCGACUUCAUGAAGUCGGAAUCGCUAGUAAUCGCGGAUCAGCACGCCGCGGUGAAUACGUUCCCGGGCCUU